This 36-nucleotide transfer RNA is filed under the name Mammut americanum (American mastodon). RNAcentral describes it as "partial tRNA-Ala". The record is from RNAcentral. Lineage: Eukaryota; Metazoa; Chordata; Mammalia; Proboscidea; Mammutidae.
AAGGGCUUAGUUUAGUUAAAGCGUCUGAUUUGCAUU